Long non-coding RNA from Gallus gallus (chicken), 476 nucleotides. NCBI's taxonomy places the organism in Eukaryota, Metazoa, Chordata, Aves, Galliformes, Phasianidae. The record is from Ensembl.
GGAGUACAGGCCUUAUGAAGAGUGGCUGAAGGAGCUGGGAUUGUUCAGUCUAGAGAAGAGGAGGCUCAGGGGAGACCUUAUUGCUCUCUAUAACUACCUGAAGGGAGGUUGUAGUGAGCCGGGGGUCAGCUUCUUCUCUCGUGUGACUAGUGAUAGGACUAGAGGGAAUGGCUUCAAGCUGCGCCAGGGAAGAUUCAGGCUGGACGUUAGGAAAUACUACUUCUCUGAAAGGGUAGUCAGGCACUGGAGUGGGCUGCCCAGAGAGGUGGUGGAGUCACCGAGCCUGGUGGUGUUCAAGGAACAUUUGGAUGUUGUGUUGAGGGACAUGGUUUAGUGAGAACUAUUGGUGAUGGGUGGAUGGUUGGACUGGGCGAUCCUGUGGGUCUUUUCCAAUCUUGGUGAUUCUGUGAUUCUAUGCUUAGUGAGAACAUCCAGUUACUUUCUUUAUCCUGCAUAUCUGUUAUUUUUGUUAUUAG